Molecule: ribosomal RNA, 253 nt
Filed under: uncultured bacterium
Lineage: Bacteria
Description: partial 16S ribosomal RNA
Rfam family: Bacterial small subunit ribosomal RNA
Source: RNAcentral
UACGAGGGGUCCUAGCGUUGUUCGGAAUCAUUGGGCGUAAAGGGUGUGUAGGUGGCCAUUCAAGUCAGUUGUGAAAUCCCCGGGCUCAACCCGGGAAGUGCUUCUGAUACUGUUUGGCUUGAGUACUGGAGAGGAUAGUAGAAUUCCUGGUGUAGUGGUGAAAUACGUAGAUAUCAGGAGGAAUACCGGUGGCGAAGGCGGCUAUCUGGCCAUGUACUGACGCUGAAACACGAAAGCGUGGGAAGCAAACAGG